CAGCUAGUUGGUAAGGUAACGGCUUACCAAGGCUACGAUGUUUAGGGGAUCUGAGAGGAUGACCCCCCACACUGGUACUGAGACACGGACCAGACUCCUACGGGAGGCAGCAGUAAGGAAUAUUGGUCAAUGGGCGCAAGCCUGAACCAGCCAUGCCGCGUGCAGGAAGACGGCCCUACGGGUUGUAAACUGCUUUUAUACUGGAAUAAACCUUUGUUCGUGAACAGAGCUGAAUGUACAGUAAGAAUAAGGAUCGGCUAACUCCGUGCCAGCAGCCGCGGUAAUACGGAGGAUCCAAGCGUUAUCCGGAUUUAUUGGGUUUAAAGGGUGCGUAGGCGGCCUAUAAAGUCAGGGGUGAAAGACGGGAGC
Molecule: ribosomal RNA, 369 nt
Filed under: uncultured Bacteroidota bacterium
Lineage: Bacteria; Pseudomonadati; Bacteroidota
Description: SSU rRNA
Rfam family: Bacterial small subunit ribosomal RNA
Source: RNAcentral